AGGGGUAUAGCUCAGUUGGUAGAGCGGCGGUCUCCAAAACCGCAGGUCGCGGGUUCAAACCCUGCUGCCCCUGCCA
RNAcentral lists this transfer RNA (76 nucleotides) under Bartonella vinsonii. RNAcentral describes it as "tRNA-Trp(cca)". It matches the Rfam family "tRNA". From Rfam's summary of the family: Transfer RNA (tRNA) molecules are approximately 80 nucleotides in length. Their secondary structure includes four short double-helical elements and three loops (D, anti-codon, and T loops). Further hydrogen bonds mediate the characteristic L-shaped molecular structure. tRNAs have two regions of fundamental functional importance: the anti-codon, which is responsible for specific mRNA codon recognition, and the 3' end, to which the tRNAs corresponding amino acid is attached (by aminoacyl-tRNA synthetases). tRNAs cope with the degeneracy of the genetic code in two manners: having more than one tRNA (with a specific anti-codon) for a particular amino acid; and 'wobble' base-pairing, i.e. permitting non-standard base-pairing at the 3rd anti-codon position. RNAcentral also lists the same sequence under 1 other name. Lineage: Bacteria; Pseudomonadati; Pseudomonadota; Alphaproteobacteria; Hyphomicrobiales; Bartonellaceae. The record is from RNAcentral.